ACCUCCUUCACCUUUGGCUCUCAUUUCUCUUCCUCCACUCCCUCACACUCUCCUCCUCCACUUCUCCACGAAAUUCUGCUGCCCCUUGCUUGCAUGGCCGGCCAUGGCCAUGGAAAGCCACCAAGAUGAAGCUCCCCUCCUUCCUCAAGCUUCCCCUCACCAUGAGAGCAUCCCUCUCACUCUCUUCUCCCCUAAUCUUUGAUGAAUCCAGCCCUAUUUCUCCUUUCUCCUCUCACAAUAUUGGAUCUUGAUGUAGGUGCAUGUUGGCCCAAACAUGGAGAAGGUUGAGCUAUCCUCAGAUCUGAAGCUCUUGACCAAAGUUCGUCCAAAAACUUGCUGCAAUUUCUGCUAUCUUGCUGUUUCAGAUUCUGGUACGAUUUUGUAAAAUCCGCCAAAUCUCGUGUGCUGAUCCAAAUCGAGUGAUUCAAAGUUCCACAGAUAGGUACUGAAAGGAUCUACAACUUGGCGUUGGUAUCAUCCUCAACUUCGUUACGGAUUUUACACAGUAAAUAAAGUUAUGUAAACAUGCAGAAUCACUGUUUGUUAGAUUUAUCCCAUUUUACAAAACCUUUUUGAACAAACUCAACUGUGGGUGAAAGCCUUCUUCAGUACCUUUAUUUUGGCAGUGGUUUCACUUCGAUUAACCUCCUGAAAUUAAAAUGGUUCACAGAUCAAGAUCUGGUCAGAUCUUAAUUUGUCGAAUUAAACCAGGAGCUUGGAAACGAAUUUUUGAAUGAAACCAACUGGGGGGUACUUAGCUUGCGCCAUGGUGAUACCGAGAGAGGCAAUUGCUAAGUUGUGAUACUCUCAUACCUUUACUAGAUGCGAACAAUUGCGGAGAAGAAGAAGAAGUGGAAUAGGAUGAGAAGAUUAUUUAUAUUGUUGGAAUUCUUAUAUCGAUGGAGUUGAAGAAGUACAGGGACAAAUAAGCCAA
Molecule: long non-coding RNA, 934 nt
Organism: Lolium perenne
Lineage: Eukaryota; Viridiplantae; Streptophyta; Magnoliopsida; Poales; Poaceae
Source: RefSeq, a predicted model, not a curated record